RNAcentral lists this long non-coding RNA (3245 nucleotides) under Carica papaya (papaya). RNAcentral's name for it is "long non-coding RNA (CPAP_LNC003628)". Lineage: Eukaryota; Viridiplantae; Streptophyta; Magnoliopsida; Brassicales; Caricaceae. The record is from RNAcentral.
UACAUCAUUUACUUUUUAGCAGUCCCAUGCCUCUCUUGCCAGAUCUUCUACCCACAGCAUGCCAACACAAAUCAAUUCUCAUGUUCCAUUUUGAUUAUGAAUCGAAGUUUGUUUUCUGCUACUGGAACAGACCAGAAGACGAGAUCUGCAUUCAUGGCCUUGCCGUGAAUUCUACCGUUGAGAACAUGCUGUGAGGUUAGUAAGAGAGUGCAUGCUAAGUAAUUGCUUCUGUUCCUCAGAGGAAGGCAGUUUCCGUAUUUCUGUUUAUACCUAAUUGAUGGGAGGGGUUUAUAAUUAAUCUACCCUCUGAAGCUCAUUAGCUUUUUAAUAGUGUUAGCUUAACACGAUUGUAGUCUUAACAGCUUUGAUAUUGAUUGAAAUUGCAUAGAAUUUGUACUGUUAACUCUGGCCUUUUUCGUUAGACUCUUAUAUAGUGUAUGCAUGUGAGUAGGGGUAACAAGUUGGGGUACUAAUCGGAUGUUAUCCGUAAACAGGGUCAAAAUUUCAUGUUACAAUCUAAUUACUUUUUCAGUUUAAUUUAAAAUUGGUCAAUUUUAUCUUACCCUUUAUAUCCAAUGUUGCAUUGUUGGGUGGUGCCAGAAAUUGUUAACAGAUACACAGAUCAUCAGAAUUAGAUGAUGACUCGUAACUUGACUCCACAAUUGACUAAAUUUUCUUUUUCUUGUCAUGAUUUUUGAUGUUUAAUAUGAACUAGUUGUAUGUAAUAAUACUUGUUGCUUCUGUGGUUGGAGGUAUAAAGAUUAGUUUCAUUAUCAAGCAAUAGCGUGGAAUAUGGUAUCUGUCGUUGUAUUUGCACAAAUGAAUGAAUACUAUUGAAGAGAAGAAAUGUAAUAACAUGGAGCAACAAAUGGUUAAGAAAUGGAAUCAUAUAAUUUUGUAUCUAAAUUAUAUCUGCAUAAGUUUCCUGAAUGUACAUAUCGAAAAAUUUUUAGCCAAAAAAUGCAAAUGAAUCUCAAAAUUUGGUAUCAUUGCAACUUGAUUUACAGGGUUAGUGAUUGAGGAUAUUGAGAAAGGAAACUCUGGUUUUGAUCAAUCGUCUAGAAAGGCAUUCAAGGCCAUCUUCAAGAUCUUGAAUGCACUGCUCCAAGUUUUUUAGUUGGGCUUGAAUACUUUGAAUGAGCAUGCUGUAACCACAUUUGCUUGUCUUGGGACUGCAGAGAGACUGCAAAGCGCUGUCCAUGUUGGCAAAUUCAUUAUUGUCUGAAAAUUCUUCCUCGGGAGCCACUCUUUUGUGGUGGAUCAGUUUAGAAACUAAUGACCAGCUGCUUGGCUUCGUUUGCAGAUUGGACCCUGAGAUUAGGGACAAUAAGGACUCAAGAGCAGUGGCAGUUACUGCUUCAGCUUCGCGUAACAUGCUUAACAUUGCGGAAGCUUCCUUGUCUAAAUUGAUGGGAGAGGAAGUGCGGCUCUUUUCAAUACCUUUCAAUUUCCUCAGAGCUUUGUGGAUUGCCUUUUUCACCAAUUUUCUGGAAGCUAAGUAUUUCUUAAUCUCAGCUUCACCUCCACAUCUUCGGCGGAAACUUGACUGAAGUUCACGUGUGGAUUCCUUUGUCAGAAGUAAUACAUCUUUAGCGGAGCUGCACACAUCCAAGAGCCGGAGAGAUCCAUCUAGUAGCUCUGCCACACCUUCUUCAUUCAACUCUCGGGUUAAUGUUUGUUGGCAGAGAGGCAAGAGAAGCAGCUUCUCAACACACUCAUACAGAUCUUGAAGGGCACUUAUUUUGCCACAAACUGAUGUUGAUAAUGUUGAUGCAGAUACUGAAGACUUUAUUCUGCACAAUUGGACAUCAACUUGUUGUAGAAAAGGAUGUGUUAUGCAAGGGAAGCUAUGGGACCGAGCAUGGUAGGCAGCCAUUUUUUUUAGAGAAAAGAGAGGGUUAGCAGAUGAAUUCUGAUUUCACUGUAAACAAUUUGCCUUGUGUCUUUUGCUUCCCCUCAUUAUAUAUUGCAGGUCAAUGGAGACAGAAAGAAUCUUUUUUCUUCUUCCUCUUCGUUAUCAAUUAUUAAAAGUGAAGAGUGUUCUGGAUUUAGGUAGUCUGUCAAUAAUGUUUAUGCAUGUCUCCCUCUUACCACAUCUCCAGGUCAGCUUUCCUAAAGAAUAUACAGACGCUUGAGUGGCACUAAGAGAGCCCUAGGACAAGAGACAAUAGCCUUACCAUCUCAUCUUUACUCACUGUAUGUUGUUGCUUUCGAUUUCUUAAAAUAAUUUCAUCUGCCAGUCCAUCUCCACAUGAAAAUGACACCAGUAAUCUCUAUCUAAUUGUACACAACCAUUUCCACCUAAAUGCAUCAAUAAUCCAUGUUAAGGACUGAUUGAAAAAUUUGAUGUUGCAUGUUCCUUAUCUGGCUUCUGCACAAGUAGUAUGCAAGUUAUUCAUAAUCUAAUAUCACCUUUUCUUUUUUUUUUCUUUCAUUGAAAAUGGCUUGAGGCUGAACUAGGCUGGAUAAAUCAGACUGUCUCUCCAAACAGAGAAAGCCAGAAUAUCUUCUUUAGUUUUUGUCAAUAUUUAAUCUUCUGCCUAUAGACAAUUCAGGUCAGUAGCAUGGAGGACGCAAAUAAUAUGCUUUAUAUGUAUCUCUGUAAAGUCAGGUUUUUCCCUCAAUGCGUGCCUGUUGGAUGUGCAUGGAUGCUAACUCCAGUUUAUUAAUAAACAAUUUACUUGAAUUUUCACUUUAAUCAGCAUUUCCUGCAAUAUUUAGAUGAGAUCUGCAUACUCGGCCAUAACAUACCUGACAAAAAUGGAGACAAAUGGUUAGUGAGGACAAUAACUCUGCCAUCCUCUAUAAAAUGUUAGAGUACUUUCACUUUUAUAAAACACAUUUUAGACAUGUUACCAAGUCUUGUGAAAAGAUUAUAGCUAGUGAUAGAAAAGGUAUAUUCAUCUUGUAAUAUCAGGUCUGAGUCUUUCGAGUUCUUGUGCAUCAAUGUGGAUGCUUAUGGAUUUUUAUAUCAAUCAAUUGAUUUUCCUCAAGACAUAUAUGAUGCUCUUAAAAGAAAAAAGGACAAAAAAAUAGUAUGGCUGCAAGAUCUUCUGAGAACCAGUGUUUAACUUUAGUAUGAAUUGAAGAGUACAAAUACUUUUAGUCUAUAUACAGAGCAUCAUGAUUUUUUUUUUUUGGCUAGUGAUUAGCGACAUUGAUAAAGGAGACUCUGGUCCUGAUCAACUUUCUGUAUAUGCACUCAAGUCCUUCUUCAAGAUCUUGAAUGCACAACUCUAAAUUUU